Molecule: ribosomal RNA, 364 nt
Filed under: uncultured eukaryote
Lineage: Eukaryota
Description: partial 18S ribosomal RNA
Rfam family: Eukaryotic small subunit ribosomal RNA
Source: RNAcentral
CAAAAGCGUAUAUUAAAGUUGUUGCAGUUAAAAAGCUCGUAGUUGAACCUUGGGCUUGGCUGGCCGGUCCAUCUUUUUUGAUGCGUACUGGACCCAGCCGAGCCUUUCCUUCUGGCUAGCCUUUUGGCGAACCAGGACUUUUACUUUGAAAAAAUUAGAGUGUUCGAAGCAGGCCUUUGCUCGAAUAUAUUAGCAUGGAAUAAUAGAAUAGGACGUUAUGGUUCUAUUUUGUUGGUUUCUAGGACCAUCGUAAUGAUUAAUAGGGACGGUCGGGGGUAUCAGUAUUCAGUUGUCAGAGGUGAAAUUCUUGGAUUUACUGAAGACUAACUACUGCGAAAGCAUUUACCAAGGACGUUUUCAUUAA